GAUGAACGCUAGCGGCAGGCCUAAUACAUGCAAGUCGGACGGGAUCCAUUGAUAGCUUGCUAUCAAUGGUGAGAGUGGCGCACGGGUGCGUAACGCGUGAGCAACCUGCCUCCAUCAGGGGGAUAGCCUCUCGAAAGAGAGAUUAACACCGCAUAAUAUCAACAGUUCGCAUGUUCAGUUGAUUAAAUCUUUAUAGGAUGGAGAUGGGCUCGCGUGACAUUAGCUAGUUGGUAGGGUAACGGCUUACCAAGGCGACGAUGUCUAGGGGCUCUGAGAGGAGAACCCCCCACACUGGUACUGAGACACGGACCAGACUCCUACGGGAGGCAGCAGUAAGGAAUAUUGGUCAAUGGGCGGAAGCCUGAACCAGCCAUGCCGCGUGCAGGAUGACUGCACUAUGGGUUGUAAACUGCUUUUGUCCAGAAAUAAACCUAAAUACGAGUAUUUAGCUGAAUAUACUGAAAGAAUAAGGAGCGGCUAACUCCGUG
This 488-nucleotide ribosomal RNA is filed under the name uncultured bacterium. RNAcentral's name for it is "partial 16S ribosomal RNA". It matches the Rfam family "Bacterial small subunit ribosomal RNA", at positions 28 to 507 of the family's 1533-position model. The record is from RNAcentral.